This 253-nucleotide ribosomal RNA is filed under the name uncultured bacterium. Its description in RNAcentral is "partial 16S ribosomal RNA". It matches the Rfam family "Bacterial small subunit ribosomal RNA", at positions 524 to 776 of the family's 1533-position model. The record is from RNAcentral.
UACGAAGGGGGCGAGCGUUAUUCGGAAUCACUGGGCGUAAAGCGUGCGUAGGCUGUUCAGCAAGUCAGAAGUGAAAGCCCAAGGCUCAACCUUGGAAGCGCUUUUGAAACGCCGGACUUGAAUUGGGAGAGGAUGAGCGGAAUUCUCAGUGUAGCAGUGAAAUGCGUAGAUAUUGAGAGGAACACCAGUGGCGCAAGCGGCUAUCGUGGACCAACAUUGACGCUGAGGCACGAAAGCGUGGGGAUCAAACAGG